ACGGCCGUACCAUGGUGAAUAUACCGGUUCUCGUUAGAUCACCGAAGUCAAGCAUCAUUGGGCGCGGUCAGUACUUGGGUGGGUGACCACCUGGGAACACCGCGUGCCGUU
This 111-nucleotide ribosomal RNA is filed under the name Caerostris darwini. The record is from RNAcentral. Lineage: Eukaryota; Metazoa; Arthropoda; Arachnida; Araneae; Araneidae.